GAGUUAGCAAUCCGGAUGUGUUUUGUGGAAGAUUAUGCCCUAAGCCCUUAGAAGGGAGGACACUGAGUUUGGGAAAAGUCACUACCUCUGGGCUUCAUUUUUUGCCCUAAGGCAAUGAGGUUAUCCUGAUGCUGAGGAAUCUAUGGCAAAUUUUCCUUUCUCCCUCAAACUAUCCUGUCAACCUUUUCAUAUUAGAAGGCAGAGAAUGGAAAAUACACAUACACAUUCUCCUUUAAAAAAAAAAAAUACAAGGAGCCUUGAGAAAUGGACAUGAUCCGUGUAUUUCUUGACCUCUGAGAUACCAUGGCUAAUCCCAACCAACCUGCAGAAAUACUGCUUCUGGAAGUUCCAUUUGCCUCCAUUCUGAGUGCUUAUUAACCCUGAAACUUUUGUCAGCUCAGGAAAAAGCAAAAGGUUCUAAACUAACUGGCUGCGCAGUGGAACACCCUUGUUCACCUCCUCACUGGGCUCCUGGGCCUCCAACUCCUGCCCUUCAGGUUCUAGACAGGCAAUCAAAGCAAAAAUGGACAAAUGGGAUCCCAUCAAGUUAAAAGGCUUCUGCACAGCAAAAGAAACCAUCAACAAAGUGAAGAGACAACCCGCAGAGUGGGAGAAAAUAUUUGCAAACUACCCAUCUGACAAGGGAUUAAUAACCAAAAUAUAUCAGGAGCUCAAACAACUCUAUAGGAAAAAAAUCUAAUAAUCUGAUCAAAUAAUGGGCAAAAGAUUUGAAUAGCCAUUUCUCAAAAGAAGACAUGCAAAUGGCAGACAGGCACAUGAUUGAUCAUCAGAGAAAUGCAAAUGAAAACUACAAUGAGAUACCAUCUUACCCCAGUCCAAAUGGCUUAUAUCAAAAAGACAGGCAACAAUAAAUGCUGAUGAGGAUGUGGAACCCUCAUGCACUGUUGGUGGGAAUGUAAAUUAGUACAAGCACUCUGGAGAAGAGUUUGGAGGUUCCUCAAACAACUGAAAAUAGAGCUACCAUAUGGUCCAGCAAUCCCACUGCUGGGUAUGUACCCAAAAGAAAGGAAAUCAGUGUAUCAAAGAGAUGUCUGCACUCCCAUGUUUGUUGCAGCACUGUUCACAAUAGCCAAGAUUUGGAAGCAACCUAAGUGUCCAUCAACAGAUGAAUAAAGAAAAUGUGGUAAAUAUACACAACAGAGUACUAUUCAGUCGUAAAAAAGAAUGAGAUCCUGUCAUUUGCAACAACAUGGAUGGAACUGGAGGUCAUUAAUGUUAAAUGAAAUAAGCAAGGUACAGAAAGACAAACAUCACAUUUUCUCACUUAUUUGUGGGAUGUAAAAUUAAAAACGAUUGCUCAUGGAAAUAGAGAGUAGAAGGAUGAUUACCAGAGGCUAGGAAGGGUAAUGGGCGUUGAGGGGAAGAUGGGGAAAGUUAAUGGGUAUUAAAUAGAAAGAAUGAACAAGGCCUACUAUCUGAU
Long non-coding RNA from Homo sapiens (human), 1441 nucleotides. Ensembl annotates it as long intergenic non-protein coding RNA 2324. The record is from Ensembl. Lineage: Eukaryota; Metazoa; Chordata; Mammalia; Primates; Hominidae.